GUCCCCCUCCACAGCUUUCUAGGGGUUGAAUUACUGCUAAAACCAGUGAAAUAAAACACUCUGCUGGGGUAAAUUCAUGAUUAAGCCCAGAAAAACAAACACAGUAUUCUCAUUGAUCUUACAAAUGGUUGUGUAGGGUGCCUGGGUGGCUCAGUUGGUUAAGCGACGGCCUUCGGCUCAGGUCAUGAUCCUGGAGUCCCGGGAUCGAGUCCCGCAUCGGGCUCCCUGCUCAGCGAGGAGCCUGCUUCUCCCUCUGACCCUCCCCCCUCUCAUGCUCUCUAUCUCAUUCUCUCUCUCAUAUAAAUAAAUAAAAUCUUUAAAAAAAACAAACAAACAAAAAAAAAAAACAAAAAAAAAAACCAAAUGGUUGUGUGAAGUUCUGUUUCAAAAUAAAGUGCCAGCCCAUGGCCGCGCCUCCCGGGGCCCCUGCCCGCCGAGCACAGCGAGCCCUCCCGAUGGCAGGCUGCGAGGAGGUGAGCGUGUCCGGCUUGGAGGAGUUCCACCGGGCCGUGGAGCAGCACCAUGAAAGACCAUCUUCGCCUACUUCACUGGCUCUAAGGACGCUGGGGGGAAGAGCUGCUGCCCUGACUGCGUGCAGGCUGAACCGGUCGUACGAGAGGGGCUGAAGCGUAUUAGUGAAGGAUGUGUGUUCAUCUACUGCCGAGUGGGAGAGAAACCUGACUGGAAAGAUCCAAAUAAUGACUUCAGAAGAAACCUGGAAGGGAGUGCAGUGCCUACACUACUUGAGUAUGGAACACCUCAAAACUGGUGGCAUCUCAGUGCCUUCAGGCCAACCUCGUGCCAAUGCUAUUCUCUGAAGAUUAAGAUUUGAUGGUGGCAAUUGUGUCUGGAUUUCCUGAUUUCCUCUUAGUGUAAAGGCAAUUGCAUACUUGCUUUGAAUUCACGUUAGCAAUAAAUAAAUGAAGCGCCAGGGAUUUGAACAGGAGAUGCUGGUUGUGUACAUGUGGGUGUCGGGUUUGUGUGGGCCUCACAGUUGCCACCAUGAACUUACCAUUCCCUGUGUGCCCGCAUUGGCUGUGGUCAUUUUACAUUCAUCCUGUGGACUUCCCUUCAAGACUAGUUUUCAGGGUACACAAGAUAAUGUUAAUGGGUUAAAAAUGUACAGAAAAAUAGAAAGUGAUCAUUUCCUCACUUGGAGCUUUCCUCAGCGCCUUUAAAAGACUACACAGUUCACAUUUUCAUAGUGGGCAUGCACCUUUUUUGUGGUACACACAGUAUGGCUGCACUUCUUGAUGAGUUAAUAAGAGCUUUUGUUUGGAUAGUGUGCAGUUUCCUGUCCUUCAGAAAGGAGAGUUGACUCAAAGCCCCCUGCCCUCUUCUGUGCUCUCUCUGGAGGGUGUAUCGUAGCUGUGGUCAUACUUGUGACUGAGCCUUGAGUUCAAGAGAGUUGGAGAAACCCCCUCUGGAAGCAUCUUGGUUUUUAUCAAAGGUUCUCCUUUGCCUGCCUGGGAUGCUGACCCCAGUUUGUCCCAAAGCAGGAGUGAUGCAUUUUCCACUAGAUGAAGGACAUCUGAGGAUUUGUUCCCUCAACUUCAAGGUUUUUCCAUACAGUCUUGGUAUGUUCAGUGCCAGGUCCUACUAUACACUUGCUGCUGUGCUCAGCAGGGUUCUCCUGAGACCUCCAUCCUUCAUCUACAUGACCACUUAGUGUGUUCUGGGCACACUGUGAGGAGUGGGGCACCUGGGCGACUGAGAUGGGAAUCCUGUCCUUGAGCAGGGAGGGAGUUUAAUGCCUGGUGUAGGUGAGCAGAGUACACUGAAAUCUAAAAAGAGAAGGAAAUUGAGCACAUGGCUUUGUUGGAUUCUUAAUCACCUUGAAAAUUUUGUCUCCAAAGUAGGAUUCUUCUCCAUUCUUGAGUGCACUCAGGGUACUGAGCCUGAAGGGCGGGUGGUAGUGAAUUAGUAAAGUUAGGAUAAGUAGCAGAGUGGAUUCUUACAAAUGUCACAAAAGGUGACAUUUAGUGCUCCAAAAAAUCAUUUACUGUAUAUCUUAUGUGAGUCUCGGACUCUUUUAGGUAUAUGAAAUGCACAAAACACCAAAAGAAUUUUGCCCUCGUAGAACCUACAUUCUGGGUGAGAAAACAGCAAUGUUCUUUAACUUCCAUAGCAUGUUAGAAGGGAAUAGGUUCUGUGGAAAAGAGAAAAGCAGGACAGCGGUGAAGAAAAACACAGGAGAGGGAAGAGUCCCAACAUUAAGACUGUUCACAUUAGGGCUGGUAUGGAUGAUGUGUCUGGCAUGUAUUUUAAAGAGGUGAAAGAACAAUCUAUUUCUUCCUUUCUAAUGCAUAUACGUAUACAUUUUUUCUUGCCAUACAACACUAGGUAGUUUCCGUAAUGUUGAACGCCAGGAGAUCCCAAUUAUUUUUCUUUUGUCUCUGAUCUUGGGUGAAAUAUUAACAUCAUAUGUAUGGCGUGUGUUGUAGAAUCUUUUCAAUGUUUAAGGAAAAUCCAUUCUAUACUUUGUGGGUUUUUUUUUUUUAAAGCCAAAGAAUGAGUGAAUUAGCAUCAAAUUAUAUUUUAUGCA
Molecule: RNA transcript, 2545 nt
Organism: Mirounga angustirostris (Northern elephant seal)
Lineage: Eukaryota; Metazoa; Chordata; Mammalia; Carnivora; Phocidae
Gene name: thioredoxin domain-containing protein 17-like
Exons: 1
Source: RefSeq, a predicted model, not a curated record